GUGGGCGUCUUCUAAUGGUUAGGAAAUCUCGUUGUGGCCCAGCACAAUCCCGUGAAAAUGUCGGUUCGAUUCCGGCCGCCCACA
RNAcentral lists this transfer RNA (84 nucleotides) under Puccinia coronata f. sp. avenae. RNAcentral's name for it is "Puccinia coronata var. avenae f. sp. avenae partial tRNA-His". It matches the Rfam family "tRNA". Rfam says of the family: Transfer RNA (tRNA) molecules are approximately 80 nucleotides in length. Their secondary structure includes four short double-helical elements and three loops (D, anti-codon, and T loops). The record is from RNAcentral. Lineage: Eukaryota; Fungi; Basidiomycota; Pucciniomycetes; Pucciniales; Pucciniaceae.